ACGUCACGCGCUGCUUUACUUUGCAACCACAAAACUGGGCACACACACGAAAGCGGUUGCAUACGACUUGGCAGACACUCGCGAGCAGGCUAGGAGGAAAGCGAAUACACGAAGUCGCCAUCAAGGCGGCGCGCACGCUUAGUGGCUGCUUGGUAUAUUCCGUCUGUGGGCUGGCUCUCUCUCGUCGUGACGCGUUCGCCACCGUGGCUGCAGCAGAGGCACGAUCGACGCUCAUGGACCUAUGCGGUACCGAUGUCGUUCCCUUUCAAGGCGUGCGGUUGGGGACUACCCCAACAGAGGACUUCUACUUAACGACUCUUGAGAAGAAACUGUUGCGGAUGUCGGCGAUGGAGCAGCUGCGCGCGUGCUGUUUUGCUGACCCCCCGCUGCCUACUGCGCGUGAUGGUGGCGAGCAGUCGCUCCUGUGGUGCGUGCUGAGCGAAUCGGUGCGCGUGUUUUUGUCUCUGAUGUUGUUUCUCUGCCUCGUGGCGCACCUCCUCAACUGACGACAGAUCCAUCCAGAUGACGUCGAUACCCUCACUUAUCUUGGCAGAGGGUUGCGCGCGCUUCUUUUCGUUGCCAUUGUCUUGCUCUGCUCACUGCUCGCUUUCUUUCCUGCUCAGUGCGUUGCUUUGUGGAAUUCGGUGGUCACAGCGUUAGCUUCCCUUGUGUUGGCUUGGCGGCGCAAUCGUAGCGUGCGCGCUGGCGGGUCGGACAGCUGGUUUUCUGUCAGUCACAUCUAACUUCAGGGCUGCAUGUCAUCAAACUCCAGUGGUGAUGUGCAUCAAGCGUUGCUGCAUGUCUUCGACAGGAAAGCGCAGCUCCUCGGAUGAUUCUCCGCCGUCUGCUGUAUGGUUUCACUCGUGUACCUUGUUUUUCCCGAUCUUCUCCCGUGCCGCUUUUCUUCCCUCUCCUCUUGGUACCACAAG
This 929-nucleotide unclassified non-coding RNA is filed under the name Leishmania donovani. RNAcentral describes it as "gene:LdHU3.12.0110(CDS-product:hypothetical_prote in_conserved)". The record is from RNAcentral. Lineage: Eukaryota; Euglenozoa; Kinetoplastea; Trypanosomatida; Trypanosomatidae.